AUGGCGUCGGUUAAGCCUAGAUUUUCUGAUUCCCCCUGUUGGAAAGCCCUGCUUAAAGUCAAAGAUAUCUAUUUGGUAGGUAGAAAGAUCCAUUUGGAAUCUGGUGACCUUGUUAGAGUCUGGAAAGAUUCCAUAAACGGGUUGAGUCCUUUUCAGACCCUCUACCCUUCGCUGUUUGAGAUCUGCAAUAAUCAGGAUUGCACUACUGCUAAUUUCAAGUCUGUGGACGUCCAUUCUUUCUUUAGAAGGAGACUCACUCCUGAAUUAUCCCGUCAAUGGGAGGAAAUAAACAAAACGAUCAAUAAUAUCCAGCUGAGUCAGGGUGGGGACCGGGUCUGCUGGGGGCUUAAUAGCAAUGGCAAAUUUUCCACUAAAUCUGUGUAUAAAUGGCUUGAAAACCCUCUUAGUGGUUGCCAUUAUAGAUGGAUUUGGAGAGCCAAUAUCCCUCUCAAAAUCAAAAUCUUCAUGUGGCAAUUGUCCCAGGACGCAGUGCUCACUAGACAAGUUAUGAGAACGAGGAAAUGGACUAGGAAUCCCACAUGUUCUUUCUGUAAUGAGUUGGAAACCUCCCAACAUCUGUUUUUUACUUGCCCUGUUGCUAAAGUGAUCCGGAGAUGUGUUGGGAUAGUUCUGGGUACUGAGAUGUGCCCGAAUAGCUACUGGCAAUAUUUUGCUUGGUGCCACACUUUUCUCCCUGAUGGACAAAAGUACUAUACGGUGGGCUUGGCUGCUGCUUGCUGGGCCAUUUGGCUAGCUCAAAACCGAGCUACGUUCGAAAAGAAGCUUAUCAAAACGCCUUUUGAGAUUGUUUUCUCCAUGUGUUCUUUCCUACUGUACUGGACAGGGCUGUAG
RNAcentral lists this ribosomal RNA (852 nucleotides) under Triticum aestivum (bread wheat). RNAcentral describes it as "partial small subunit ribosomal RNA". The record is from RNAcentral. Lineage: Eukaryota; Viridiplantae; Streptophyta; Magnoliopsida; Poales; Poaceae.